Molecule: transfer RNA, 81 nt
Filed under: Bos taurus (domestic cattle)
Lineage: Eukaryota; Metazoa; Chordata; Mammalia; Artiodactyla; Bovidae
Also listed under: 2 other names
Rfam family: tRNA
About the family: Transfer RNA (tRNA) molecules are approximately 80 nucleotides in length. Their secondary structure includes four short double-helical elements and three loops (D, anti-codon, and T loops).
Source: Rfam by way of RNAcentral
UCCCCGAUGGCUCAGCAGGUAGAGCAUCUGCCUGAAAUGCAGGAGACUCAGGAGAUACGGGUUCAAUUCCUGGGUCAGGAA